RNAcentral lists this ribosomal RNA (253 nucleotides) under uncultured bacterium. Its description in RNAcentral is "partial 16S ribosomal RNA". It matches the Rfam family "Bacterial small subunit ribosomal RNA", at positions 524 to 776 of the family's 1533-position model. The record is from RNAcentral.
AACGUAGGGUGCGAGCGUUAAUCGGAAUUACUGGGCGUAAAGCGUGCGCAGGCGGUUCGUUAUGUCCGAUGUGAAAGCCCCGAGCUCAACUUGGGAAUGGCAUUGGAAACUGGCGGGCUGGAGUGCGGCAGAGGGGGGUGGAAUUCCACGUGUAGCAGUGAAAUGCGUAGAGAUGUGGAGGAACACCGAUGGCGAAGGCAGCCCCCUGGGCCAACACUGACGCUCAGGCACGAAAGCGUGGGGAGCAAACAGG